RNAcentral lists this ribosomal RNA (253 nucleotides) under uncultured bacterium. RNAcentral's name for it is "partial 16S ribosomal RNA". It matches the Rfam family "Bacterial small subunit ribosomal RNA", at positions 524 to 776 of the family's 1533-position model. The record is from RNAcentral.
UACGUAGGUGGCAAGCGUUAUCCGGAUUUAUUGGGCGUAAAGGGAACGCAGGCGGUCUUUUAAGUCUGAUGUGAAAGCCUUCGGCUUAACCGGAGUAGUGCAUUGGAAACUGGGAGACUUGAGUGCAGAAGAGGAGAGUGGAACUCCAUGUGUAGCGGUGAAAUGCGUAGAUAUAUGGAAGAACACCAGUGGCGAAAGCGGCUCUCUGGACUGUAACUGACACUGAGGCACGAAUGCGUGGGGAGCAAACAGG